UAUUCUACAUGUAGCUGCAAUGUGAAUAAAAAAAAAAAGAGAUGUUUCAUCAGUCAGGAAGGCGGCGGAAUGUAGCAUCCAGAACUUCAUCAAUAGUAGGUAAAUAAGUAAUUAAUGAAUGCCUUCAAACAGUGUUGAGGGUUAAGAUUCUGAUAUUUUCUUGACCAGAGCACAAUAAUUGAUGCCUCAAAUUGUACAAAUGAAUGAAAAAUGGCUUUCCCUAGCAAGACCCAGAAACAUCAACCACUAAGUCCAGAAGUAGUUUGCUUCUUCUUCUUCAUUUUUUUUUUUAACUCUAAAGUCUUCCUUAUUAUUAUAGGGAUACCAUUAGAACAAAAAUAAGGUACUUUUGACCCUUAAACUUGUAAGUUUCAAUCUAUCAUACACCAAAAUUUUUUGACAAACUUAUCACACCCCUAAACUUUUCAUGAAACCUAUCACACCACUAAAUUUGUAAAUUUCAUAACAAUUAUAUAUAAUUUUGCCCUAUCAGCAAUGUGUUUUAUGCAUUUGACUUGUCAAAAAUCUGACAAGUGGACUCUUUUUAUGCCGUUUUUGCAACUUUACUUGUGUACUUACUCUUCUCUAAACCUCUAAGUAUCUCAUUCACCUCGCCCUCCAUCUCUCUCCCCUCCCUCCCUCCGUCCCUCCCUCUAUGAUUUUAGUGCUUUCAGUGUCUCUCAUCUUACCUUGUGCUCUCUUCCCAUCUACAUGUUCUCUCUGGUCUCUCUCUUUCUGCCAAAAUAAUGAAGCUCCCAAAACAUGCAAAUCACAAUCCAAAUUGCAAAAUCACAAACACAAAAAAGGUUGACAAAUUAUAGCAUAUCAACAUUUUUUUUCAUUCAAUAUAAUCACAAUUGAUCAACAAUGAAGAGUCACAUUUCUAAGUAGGACAUUUUAUUUCACUCAAUACUGAAAUGAAAGAAAGAAAAAAAUCACAAGAAAGAAAUUAGGAAACACUAAAAUCAUAAACACACCAAAAAUCAUAAGAAAGAAAUCAGAAAAAAGAAAUCCCCAAGUACAGUUUUACACUGAAAAUCACUUCAUUUUUCUUUCUCCAAUCCCAAAACAAAACACUAAAAUCCCUCUUCUUUUCCUCUCUCCUUUGUAGACUAUUGGUGCAUAGAUGUUGUUGUCAUGUUCUUGGGUUUUGGCUUCAAGUUUUGAAUCGACAUAGAUUUCCAGUGAGAGACUUUAAGAGUUGUCACUGUUGCUGUUGGUAAGAGAAAUUCUGCCACUGAAAAACAAAUGUGAUGUCUAAAUAUGCUCAAUUUGGGGCUGGUCAGGCUUCUUCUUUGGACUUACUGAACAAAAAAAGAAGGGAAAGGAAAGGGAAGGGAAGAUGUUGUGCUUGCUGGAUGAGGGGAAGGGGAGAGGCCAGAGACGAGAAAUAGAGGAAAGGUUGAGAUGGAAUGAGAGAGGAAGAGGGAGGCAGUUGCUACUUUAGGUUUAGGGCUUGAAAGAAUGAUCAUUUAUAUAGGGACGAUAAAAAUGACGUAAUUUUAUGCAACACCAGAUGGGCUUACUCAUCUUCACAUGUUCAAUAAAGCGUGCAUAGAAUGCAUUACUAACAGGGUAAAAUUGUGUUGAAUUGUUAUGAAAUUACAAAUUUAGGUGUGCGAUAAAUUUUUUUUUUUCCGAAGUACAAAUUUAGUAGUGAAAGAUGCAUUUGGCCAUAAAAAGAACCUAGAUACUUUAAUUUAGCUAGGCUGUAUCAGGCGAAAACGAUUUCAGCUACUCAUCAAGCUGGAAAGAGCCCUUAAUACAAUUCAAAAACCAAAAAGAUUGUGAUAGCAUUCAGGGAAAAGUAACCAUCUAUUGAUUCUUCUUCUUCUUCU
RNAcentral lists this unclassified non-coding RNA (1838 nucleotides) under Hevea brasiliensis (rubber tree). Lineage: Eukaryota; Viridiplantae; Streptophyta; Magnoliopsida; Malpighiales; Euphorbiaceae. The record is from RNAcentral.